This 63-nucleotide transfer RNA is filed under the name Marmota monax (woodchuck). RNAcentral's name for it is "tRNA.Ile". The record is from RNAcentral. Lineage: Eukaryota; Metazoa; Chordata; Mammalia; Rodentia; Sciuridae.
GGGGCGUAGCUCAGUGGUAGAGCCCUUGCUUUAUAUGCAGGAGGCCCUGGGUCCUGGGUUCCA